GGCUGCAACUCGCCUACAUGAAGUCGGAAUUGCUAGUAAUCGCGGAUCAGCAUGCCGCGGUGAAUACGUUCCCGGGCCUUGUACACACCGCCCGUCACACCAUGGGAGUCGGUAACACCCGAAGCCUGUAGUCUAACCGCAAGGAGGACGCAGUCGAAGGUGGGAUUGAUGACUGGGGUGAAGUCGUAACAAGGUACC
This 198-nucleotide ribosomal RNA is filed under the name uncultured bacterium. RNAcentral's name for it is "partial 16S ribosomal RNA". It matches the Rfam family "Bacterial small subunit ribosomal RNA", at positions 1303 to 1500 of the family's 1533-position model. The record is from RNAcentral.